This is a long non-coding RNA of Rana temporaria (common frog), 444 nucleotides long. RefSeq lists it as uncharacterized. The record is from RefSeq and is a predicted model, not a curated record. The transcript is spliced from 3 exons. Lineage: Eukaryota; Metazoa; Chordata; Amphibia; Anura; Ranidae.
CACACAUUAACUGUAACAAACCAAAUCAGAGGGAACCACGUCUGCUACUUCCAGAAUCCAUCUUCCACAAUCAUGUCCGGCUUCUUAGGUCAGGCACAGAAGAAAGCCCAGGAAGCUGCCCAAGAAACAACUAAAGAGGGAGAAAAGGUAAUCCAGGUCUGUGUUGAUAAGGGCAAGGAAGCUGGUCAAAAUGUAAUCGACCAAGGAUGUCAAGCUGCUCAGAAUACAUGUGACCAAGUAAGCGGGCAAGUUAAAGAGAAGCUCCCCACUGGAUGGUUGAAAUAACCACAUCAUACUAUAUGGAAAAUACAGAAAAGAUUUGCCAAACUGUAUAUUUACAGCAAAAUACAUUUUUAAUUUUAGUGGAGAAGUCUUUUAAGCUUCUAACUGUAUAAUAAAAUGUUCUAAUUCUCAGUUUAUAAAAACUUUCAACCAUUACCAUCA